Molecule: non-coding RNA, 423 nt
Organism: Gasterosteus aculeatus aculeatus (three-spined stickleback)
Lineage: Eukaryota; Metazoa; Chordata; Actinopteri; Perciformes; Gasterosteidae
Source: RefSeq, a predicted model, not a curated record
UAUUUAAGCCAUGUGUCACUUGUCGCGUCAUUGUCUUUCGUCGUGGAUGUGCGUAGUUCCUGUCUGCCGUUUUCCCCCAUGGUUGCUGCGUGUUUUUUGCCCCUUGGCGUUUUGCUUUUGCCUUUUUGACAAUUAAAGUCUUUUGCUUUCCAAGAAGUCUGCGUUUGAGUCCUGCCUCCUCUACGCAUCCUUGACACAGCCCUUAUCAUGGCGGCCACCUCCACCACUAACCAUGAUCCAUGGAAACCUGUGAGGUUGUUCUGACUGCACCAGCUGCCUCCCGUCUCUAGUCUACUCGACUCGUCAUCGACCCCGAUGAAGCCGAUGACGGCUGUGUUGUCUGUGAACUUUCUGAGUUGUUUUUGUCUUUUUUCAUUGGUGGGUUUAAUGUUUUGACUGUAAUCAAUAAAUGUAAUUCAUUCA